GCCGGCAUGGCCAAAUGGCAAGGCGUUCGCUUCCUAAGCGAAAGAUUGUGGGUUCGAUCCCCACUGUCGGUA
Molecule: transfer RNA, 72 nt
Filed under: Jaapia argillacea MUCL 33604
Lineage: Eukaryota; Fungi; Basidiomycota; Agaricomycetes; Jaapiales; Jaapiaceae
Description: tRNA-Arg (CCT) (tRNA-Arg-CCT-2-1)
Rfam family: tRNA
About the family: Transfer RNA (tRNA) molecules are approximately 80 nucleotides in length. Their secondary structure includes four short double-helical elements and three loops (D, anti-codon, and T loops).
Source: RNAcentral